GACGAACGCUGGCGGCGUGCUUAACACAUGCCAGUCGAACGGAAAGGCCUCUUUCGGGGGGUACUCGAGUGGCGAACGGGUGAGUAACACGUGAGUAACCUGCCCUUGACUUUGGGAUAACUUCAGGAAACUGGGGCUAAUACCGGAUAGGAGCUCCUGCUGCAUGGUGGGGGUUGGAAAGUUUCGGCGGUUGGGGAUGGACUCGCGGCUUAUCAGCUUGUUGGUGGGGUAGUGGCUUACCAAGGCUUUGACGGGUAGCCGGCCUGAGAGGGUGACCGGCCACAUUGGGACUGAGAUACGGCCCAGACUCCUACGGGAGGCAGCAGUGGGGAAUAUUGCACAAUGGGUGGAAGCCUGAUGCAGCAACGCCGUGUGCGGGAGGACGGCCUUCGGGUUGUAAACCGCUUUCGCUCAUGACGAAGCUUUGUGUGACGGUAGUGGGUAAAGAAGCACCGGCUAACUACGUG
Molecule: ribosomal RNA, 467 nt
Filed under: uncultured bacterium
Lineage: Bacteria
Description: partial 16S ribosomal RNA
Rfam family: Bacterial small subunit ribosomal RNA
Source: RNAcentral